RNAcentral lists this ribosomal RNA (441 nucleotides) under uncultured bacterium. Its description in RNAcentral is "partial 16S ribosomal RNA". It matches the Rfam family "Bacterial small subunit ribosomal RNA", at positions 338 to 795 of the family's 1533-position model. The record is from RNAcentral.
CCUACGGGGGGCAGCAGUGGGGGAUAUUGCACAAUGGGGGAAACCCUGAUGCAGCGACGCCGCGUGGGUGAAGAAGUAUUUCGGUAUGUAAAGCCCUAUCAGCAGGGAAGAAAGAAGACGGUACCUGACUAAGAAGCCCCGGCUAACUACGUGCCAGCAGCCGCGGUAAUACGUAGGGGGCGAGCGUUAUCCGGAUUCACUGGGUGUAAAGGGAGCGUAGACGGCCGUGCAAGCCAGGAGUGAAAGCCCGGGGCCCAACCCCGGGACUGCUCUUGGAACUGUGCGGCUGGAGUGCGGGAGGGGCAGGCGGAAUUCCGGGUGUAGCGGUGAAAUGCGUAGAUAUCAGGAGGAACACCGGCGGCGAAGGCGGCCUGCUGGACCGCGACUGACGUUGAGGCUCGAAAGCGUGGGGAGCGAACAGGAUUAGAUACCCCUGUAGUC